GACGAACGCUGGCGGCGUGCUUAACACAUGCAAGUCGAACGGAAAGGCCCUGCUUUUGUGGGGUGCUCGAGUGGCGAACGGGUGAGUAACACGUGAGUAACCUGCCCUUGACUCUGGGAUAACUUCAGGAAACUGGGGCUAAUACCGGAUAGGAGCUCCUGCUGCAUGGUGGGGGUUGGAAAGUUUCGGCGGUUUGGGAUGGACUCGCGGCUUAUCAGCUUGUUGGUGGGGUAGUGGCUUACCAAGGCUUUGACGGGUAGCCGGCCUGAGAGGGUGACCGGCCACAUUGGGACUGAGAUACGGCCCAGACUCCUACGGGAGGCAGCAGUGGGGAAUAUUGCACAAUGGGCGGAAGCCUGAUGCAGCAACGCCGCGUGCGGGAUGACGGCCUUCGGGUUGUAAACCGCUUUCGCCUGUGACGAAGCGUGAGUGACGGUAAUGGGUAAAGAAGCACCGGCUAACUACGUG
RNAcentral lists this ribosomal RNA (468 nucleotides) under uncultured bacterium. RNAcentral describes it as "partial 16S ribosomal RNA". It matches the Rfam family "Bacterial small subunit ribosomal RNA", at positions 28 to 507 of the family's 1533-position model. The record is from RNAcentral.